GAUGAACGCUGGCGGCGUGCCUAAUACAUGCAAGUCGAGCGAACGGACGAGAAGCUUGCUUCUCUGAUGUUAGCGGCGGACGGGUGAGUAACACGUGGAUAACCUACCUAUAAGACUGGGAUAACUUCGGGAAACCGGAGCUAAUACCGGAUGAUAUUUUGAACCGCAUGGUUCAAAAGUGAAAGACGGUCUUGCUGUCACUUAUAGAUGGAUCCGCGCUGCAUUAGCUAGUUGGUAAGGUAACGGCUUACCAAGGCAACGAUGCAUAGCCGACCUGAGAGGGUGAGCUGCCACACUGGAACUGAGACACGGUCCAGACUCCUACGGGAGGCAGCAGUAGGGAAUCUUCCGCAAUGGGCGAAAGCCUGACGGAGCAACGCCGCGUGAGUGAUGAAGGUCUUCGGAUCGUAAAACUCUGUUAUUAGGGAAGAACAUAUGUGUAAGUAACUGUGCACAUCUUGACGGUACCUAAUCAGAAAGCCACGGCUAACUACGUG
This 497-nucleotide ribosomal RNA is filed under the name uncultured bacterium. RNAcentral's name for it is "partial 16S ribosomal RNA". It matches the Rfam family "Bacterial small subunit ribosomal RNA", at positions 28 to 507 of the family's 1533-position model. The record is from RNAcentral.